RNAcentral lists this ribosomal RNA (279 nucleotides) under uncultured bacterium. RNAcentral describes it as "partial 16S ribosomal RNA". It matches the Rfam family "Bacterial small subunit ribosomal RNA", at positions 506 to 784 of the family's 1533-position model. The record is from RNAcentral.
UGCCAGCAGCCGCGGUAACACGGGGGGCGCAAGCGUUAUUCGGAAUUAUUGGGCGUAAAGGGCGCGUAGGCGGCUUCUUAAGUCGGGGGUGAAAUCCAGUGGCUCAACCACUGGCCUGCCCCCGAUACUGAGAAACUUGAGUCCGUGAGAGGAAAGCGGAAUUCCUGGUGUAUCGGUGAAAUGAGUUGAUAUCAGGAGGAACACCGGUGGCGAAGGCGGCUUUCUGGUGCGGUACUGACGCUGAGGUGCGAAAGCAUGGGGAGCAAACGGGAUUAGAUA